This 497-nucleotide ribosomal RNA is filed under the name uncultured bacterium. Its description in RNAcentral is "partial 16S ribosomal RNA". It matches the Rfam family "Bacterial small subunit ribosomal RNA", at positions 28 to 507 of the family's 1533-position model. The record is from RNAcentral.
GAUGAACGCUGGCGGCGUGCCUAAUACAUGCAAGUCGAGCGAACAGACGAGGAGCUUGCUCCUCCGACGUUAGCGACGGACGGGUGAGUAACACGUGGAUAACCUACCUAUAAGACUGGGAUAACUUCGGGAAACCGGAGCUAAUACCGGAUAAUAUAUUUAACCGCAUGGUUCAAUAGUGAAAGACGGUUUUGCUUUCACUUAUAGAUGGAUCCCCGCCGCAUUACCUAGUGGGUAAGGUAACGGCUUACCAAGGCAACGAUGAGAAGCGGACCUGAGAGGUUGAUCGGCAAAUUUGGACUGGGGCCACGCUCCAGACUCCUACGGGAGGCGGAAGUAGGGAAUCUCCCGCAUUGGGCGAAGGCCUAACGAGGCAACGCCGCGGGGUGGAGGAGGUUCUUCGAUUCGUAAAACUCUGUUAUUGGGGAGGAAGAAAUGGGUAGUUAAAUAUGCACGUAUUGACGGUACCUAAUCAGAAAGCCACGGCUAACUACGUG